GCAGACGCUCGUCUCCGAGACUAAGCCAUGCAUGCCCGCGAAGAAGGGAGCGGCGAACGGCUCAGUAGCACCGCGGCAAUCUGCCCCGCGCGAUCGAUAACCGCGGGAAACUGCGGCUAA
This 120-nucleotide ribosomal RNA is filed under the name uncultured Microsporidia. Its description in RNAcentral is "partial small subunit ribosomal RNA". It matches the Rfam family "Microsporidia small subunit ribosomal RNA", at positions 23 to 147 of the family's 1311-position model. The record is from RNAcentral. Lineage: Eukaryota; Fungi; Microsporidia.